This is a long non-coding RNA of Cyanistes caeruleus (blue tit), 784 nucleotides long. RefSeq lists it as uncharacterized. The record is from RefSeq and is a predicted model, not a curated record. Lineage: Eukaryota; Metazoa; Chordata; Aves; Passeriformes; Paridae.
CCUGGGGAAUCAUUCACAGGGGCAGGAAGGAGACACUCAUGAUCCCAUAGUUUCUAGCCAUUAGGGAGAUGAUAUUCUUCUAUAGUAUAGUGUGUCAGAAUAUUUUACCUCUUUGUGACCCAAGCAGGGACCUCUUACGAUAUGAUGAGGUUUGACAUCCCUCAUAGCUGAGCUUCUAUGUGAAAAAGCCUGUACUUGGGCAGGAGAGUGAACACAGGCAAAGAAGAAAACAGGAUACAUGGCCAGACAUUCUAUGUAGGGCUUUUCUUCACUGCUCAAUGGGAAAAUGAGUGAAUGACAGUGUGUUAGAAAUUGAGAAGAAGCUUCAUACAUUCAAAGAUGCUGCUCCUGACCUCUUGUUCAGCAAAGAGAGAAAAUAAAGCAACAUCUACAAAACUUCUGUGCUUGGAAGCAACACAAGUUCUCUUGGACACCUGAAAGGUUCUUUCCCUCCCAUUCUUCCUAAACAGGCUACAGAACUAUGAAGAUCAGCAUGAAAUUUUGUCUCAGCAAAGAGUAGAAAAUAAUAACUUGUGUCUUGUCAAGCCAUUCUCCUGUCUCCUUUGACAGCUCAGCCUUUGGUGGCUGCAGUGAGUUGGACACUUGGCUGUGUCAUAAGCCUUUUGGAUCAGCCCAUCAGGAGGAAAGGAACACAGACUUGGAAGAGUCCCCUGUCUUCUUCUGAAAGUAUCUGGGCAUUUUAACCUGUCUUUGAGUACCAUUUUGCAGUCAGAUGAAGAGCUCUUGCUCUUCCUCUUUGUAAUAAGAGAGAGAUUAAGUCUGA